Bicyclus anynana (squinting bush brown) is the source of this 1050-nucleotide long non-coding RNA. RefSeq lists it as uncharacterized. The record is from RefSeq and is a predicted model, not a curated record. Lineage: Eukaryota; Metazoa; Arthropoda; Insecta; Lepidoptera; Nymphalidae. The transcript is spliced from 2 exons.
CCGUCCGCGUGGUAUUCAGUUUUUCAAAAUCCCGCGGGAACCAUGGAUUUUUCCGGGAUGAAAAGUGUUAGCCUAUGUGUUAAGCCAGAGCCAGAUCGCUUCAGUAGUAGCGACGUUAAAGUAGUACUGAAGGGAUUUGGCUGAAAUUUCGAAUGGAAAUUAAUUUCACUCUGGAUUAACACAUAGGCUACUUUUCAUCCCGGAUAAAACCACGGUUCCCGCGGGAUUUUGAAAAACUGAAUUCCACGCGGACGGAGUCGCGGGCGUCCGCUAGUACUUGUAUAAACUAUACCUUAUCUAUUUUUAAUUUCUUACGUGAUUAUUAUGAUGAUGAUGUUGAUCAGGAAUUGAUUGCUUUUAUUAGACGUUUAAAGUCAAUUUAGGGCAAAGUAAUUAGAAAUAGAUAAGGUUUACAUCAUACUCGUAUAUAAACGUAAAUAAACGCUCCUCUAAAAGGAAGCCGGUGCGUCUCAAACUGUCACAAUGAAACUUUUAUUCUACGUUGCCGUAAUCGCUUGUCUAUGCGCGAUGUUCGCGCACGCUGUGCCUUUUGUGAAUGCCUAUUAUAUACAAAAUAUACGAGGACGAAAAGUCGACAUUCCAUCAAAUGGAAUCCGACAAAGGUUCUAUUGGGCUAUUGAAUAAGAGGGUAUAUGUUUACGGUUAUUUUCAUGUCAAUCUAUCUUGGUUGGUCUAUUCACUAUUUUAGUAUUUAUUAACAACGUAUUAAAGUAAAUAUCAAAACAAUUGAGAAAUAUCAUCUACCUGCUGAUUGAUAUUUACCAGUAGUCACCUGAUGGCAUUUGUUACAUAUAAUCUAAAUACCAAAGAUAGUGAAUAGUCAUCCUGGUUUUACUUUUUUUAAUAAACAGUCCAACAUCAAUUCAAUGGUCUAAUUGUUUGUACUAGGUAACACAUCCACCAAUAACCGUUACAUAAUAUUGUAAUAUAUUGCCAGUAGAUUUUCCCAAUAAUUGUUUUUUGUUUUAUUAAAUCGAUUCUUUAAUUUUGAUAUUAAAAAACUAAUGUUUAUACUAUUAUUUCACUGAU